CCCUUAGAUGUUCUGGGCCGCACGCGCGCUACACUGAUGCAUUCAACGAGUUACCUUGGCCGAGAGGCCUGGGCAAUCUUUUGAACGUGCAUCGUGAUAGGGAUAGAUUAUUGCAAUUAUUAAUCUUGAACGAGGAAUUCCUAGUAAACGCAGUUCAUCAAACUGCAUUGAUUACGUCCCUGCCCUUUGUACACACCGCCCGUCGCUCCUACCGAUUGAGUGGUCCGGUGAGGCUUUGGGAUCUGAGCGGAAAGAGCGUUUCGCUGUUUCUGCUCGGAAAACUCAGUCGAACCUUAUCAUUUAGAGGAAGGAGAAGUCGUAACA
Molecule: ribosomal RNA, 324 nt
Filed under: uncultured eukaryote
Lineage: Eukaryota
Description: partial 18S ribosomal RNA
Rfam family: Eukaryotic small subunit ribosomal RNA
Source: RNAcentral